GGAGUUAGCCGGUGCUUCUUCUGUGAGUGAUGUCCUUCCUGCCGGCUAUUAACCCGCAGGCCUUCUUCCUCACUGAAAGUGCUUUACAACCCGAAGGCCUUCUUCACACACGCGGCAUGGCUGGAUCAGGGUUGCCCCCAUUGUCCAAUAUUCCCCACUGCUGCCUCCCGUAGGAGUCUGGGCCGUGUCUCAGUCCCAGUGUGGCUGAUCAUCCUCUCAGACCAGCUACGGAUCGUCGCCUUGGUGAGCCGUUACCUCACCAACCAGCUAAUACGACAUAGGCUCAUCCGAUAGCGCGAGGCCCGAAGGUCCCCCGCUUUCCCCCGUAGGGCCGUAUGCGGUAUUAGCCUGGGUUUCCCCCAGGGUUAUCCCCCACUACCGGGCAGAUUCCUAUGCAUUACUCACCCGUCCGCCGCUCGCCACCAGGGAGCAAGCUCCCCGUGCUGCCGCUCGACUUGCAUGUGUUAGGCCUGCCGCCAGCGUUCAAUCUGAGCCAUAAUCAAACUCUGA
RNAcentral lists this ribosomal RNA (510 nucleotides) under uncultured bacterium. Its description in RNAcentral is "partial 16S ribosomal RNA". The record is from RNAcentral.